GACGAACGCUGGCGGCGUGCUUAACACAUGCAAGUCGAACGGACAGGCGCUGCUUUUGUGCGGUGCUCGAGUGGCGAACGCGUGUGUAACACGUGAGUAACCUGCCCUUGACAUUCGGAUAUCACCAGGAAACUGGGGCUAAUACCGGAUAGGAGCUCCUGCUGCGUGGUGGGGGUUGGGGAGUUUCGGCGGUUGGGGAUGGUGUCGCGGCUUAUCAGCUUGUUGGUGGGGUAGUGGCUUACCAAGGCUUUGACGGGUAGCCGGCCUGGGAGGGGGGCCGGCGACCUUGGGACUGGGGCACGGCCCAGACUCCUACGGGCGGCAGCAGUCGCGAACGUUGCACAACGAGCCGAUGCCUGAUGCAGCACCGCCCCGUGCGUGAUGCCCUCCUUCGGGUGGUAAACCACUUUCGCCUGUGACCAAGCGGGAGUGACGGUAAUGGGUAAAGAAGCACCGGCUAACUACGUG
This 468-nucleotide ribosomal RNA is filed under the name uncultured bacterium. Its description in RNAcentral is "partial 16S ribosomal RNA". It matches the Rfam family "Bacterial small subunit ribosomal RNA", at positions 28 to 507 of the family's 1533-position model. The record is from RNAcentral.